UCUGCUCAGAAAUCCACCAGACUCCUCUGAUGGCUUUGCUUUUAUAGUGGAAAACUACAAUUAACAAUUAAAAAAAAAAAUAGCCAUGAAAAUAAGUGAAAUUAGAACCUGCCGACUUCACUUCCUGGAGGCUUUUUGUUGGGUCUUGAAACUAGGAAUCUUUGCGGGUCAUCCUUGGUCAGAAGCAGCUCGAUUCAGCUGUCCUGAGUCAAGGGCGAGCUUACCGGUCACCAAUUCAGCGACUAGUGUGGCCAGGAUGGAGCAACGCCUGAGUAAUGGAAACCCUUCGUCAGAACCCACCCUUGCCAGAGCUGGUGAUUCAGGCAGUUUACGGGUUAACUCUAAAGCCAUGAUUUGGAGAACCUAGUGUUCGUGGAGAAGCGUCCCAUGUGCAUGUUGUUUGCAAGUUUGUGUAUGGGGCAGCCAGGGGAAGUCAGAGGAGACAAUGGUUCUAAUGUGUUUCUCUUGGGUCAAACACAAAAGAGUGUACAUACACAGGGGCCAUUAAGGAAAUAAAUGGCCAAAAAAAAAAAAAAAAAAAGCAAGCAUAGGGAACCCCUUUGCCAGACUCAGCUGUCAUCUCUGUAAGGGUGCUCACUUUAGCAGCAUUUAUGUUACAAUUGGAAUGAUACAGGGAAGAUUGCAUGGCCCCUGCACAAAGAUGAUAUGAAAAUUCGCAAUGCAUUCUGUAUUUAUUAGAGCUUACUUAAAAAAAAAAAAAAAAAAAUCUGCACAGGAAGCCCUGAUCUCUCACCUGCUUGCCCAGAGAACAGUUGUAUUCAAAAGGCAUGAAAAUACCGCAGGUU
Molecule: long non-coding RNA, 806 nt
Organism: Lutra lutra (Eurasian river otter)
Lineage: Eukaryota; Metazoa; Chordata; Mammalia; Carnivora; Mustelidae
Exons: 2
Source: RefSeq, a predicted model, not a curated record